GCAAAUAAAUAAAAAACUUGUACUGCCAUGUAGCGAUUUCGAUAGACGACGCCUUCAAGGGAGGAGGAGUCUACAACAUAUUGAAUUUAUCGAUCGAUUGUUAGGCCGAUUUCGAUCAGCAUUGUAUAGUUAAUGAAUGACAACUUGACGAGAUCUUGACACGCACGUUGGAAGUGUACGCGUGUUUGCACCUCGAUGAGCGUUGCACAAUAACAAAGCUCCGUUGGUGAGCGUAUUGAUUAAUAAAGCUAGGUGAAGUCCUUGAGUGCCUCAAGGACUUUGUUUUGUUUUAGCAGUAUUUUUUCCUUCAACAAUUAAUCUUGCAUCUCCAACCGUGGAAUGAGUUACAUGUGACUCGAGACAAACAAACAGUGCAAUUGCAACAAUAUAAUUAGUCAGCGGUAUGGUCACUAUCAGCAGCUUUACACACAGUGUUCAUCGUGAAUACAUCAAUCCCAGAGAAAACAUUCCAAUGGAAAAUAUUGAGAAUUUCUGCCCUUCUAUCCUGAACUAAACAAUGCUGGUUUGUAUAAAUAGGCAUAAAAAAACCUAUCAACAGUAUUUUUAGUUUGCAGUUUGCUUUAACAUACAACUCUAUGGCAUGUUGAUAUUGUCGCGGGUGAAAAGGGAGAUUGGUUAUCUCUUCACAGAGAUGAGUCAUCCGCUCCUUGGACAACGCUGCGAUCGUGGUGAAGAAAUUAUCGGGAGAAGUCCGCUCUAAGAAAGAUACG
RNAcentral lists this long non-coding RNA (731 nucleotides) under Daphnia magna. RNAcentral describes it as "uncharacterized LOC123473803". The record is from RNAcentral. Lineage: Eukaryota; Metazoa; Arthropoda; Branchiopoda; Diplostraca; Daphniidae.